ACAGCAGCCGCCACGGUAAAACCAGCAGCCCAAGUGGUGGUCGCGAUUAUUGGGCCUAAAGCGCUCGUAGCCGGGCCGGUAAGUCCCUUGUGAAAUCGGACGGCCUAACCGUUCGGCGUGCAAGGGAUACUGUCGGUCUUGAGGCCGGGAGACGUCCGAGGUACUCCGGGGGUAGCGGUGAAAUGCGUAGAGAUGUGGAGGAACACCAGUGGCGAAGGCGACUCUCUGGUCUGUAACUGACGCUGAGGAGCGAAAGCGUGGGGAGCAAACAGGAUUAGAUACCCCGGUAGUCCCUGUCUCUUAUA
This 305-nucleotide ribosomal RNA is filed under the name uncultured bacterium. RNAcentral's name for it is "partial 16S ribosomal RNA". It matches the Rfam family "Bacterial small subunit ribosomal RNA", at positions 508 to 808 of the family's 1533-position model. The record is from RNAcentral.